AUUAUUUUGCACCCUUUUAUAUGCCAAUAAAUGAUAUCUGUAAACGAUGAUUCCGAAAAUCGACACCAUAGCAAGCCCAAAAGCAACAAAUGAACCACUUAUUAUUAGGACUGUCCUGCUAGUGCCAAGGUUCUUCUUCUCCGUUAUAGGCUCUUUAUUGUCCAUGGUGGAUAUGGGUCUACCCACCUUGACGACAACCAAGUUCGAACUUUCUAAGUUUCUCCUCCCAAAUCUCAAAGGAAGCCUUUGCUUUCUGCAGUACUGCCCAUCAGUGAAUAAUGCUGCUUCACAGUUACAGUCUUCCAAACAGGCUUGCUUACAAUUGUCUUUAGUUGUUGAUGACAAAACGGAGUAUGAAACAUCUUCCCACUCAGUAUUAGACAGCUCUUCCAUGGUGUAUGGGCUACUUCCAUUCUUGUCUUUGCAACUUUCAGCUUUGAAAUCCCUCUCACAGCCAGAAGUCCAAUUUCCCUGGGCAACAAACUCAAAUCCAGGAAGACAAGUACAUUCAGCUUCCUGAUCCUUCAUAACACAAUAUCCAUUAAGACCGCAUGAUCCUUUCGGGUCACACUUGUUGCUUGUGGAUGACCACACAGCUGACCAGUUUCCAUUCACUGUCAGAUUUUGUGAAUAUAAUCUGAAAAUCCCAUCAGCAUCAAGUUUCAUAAUAUUAAUUGUUUCUUUCGUGUGAUAUCCUCCAGCUGUAAUGUUUUCUAUGUUGAAACCUGUGGAAUUGAGCAGGUAGAGACGGCCAUCCGGAUCAAGAUUUAGGGUCACAUUACCCCCCGCCCAAUAAGUACCAGAUGCAAAAUAAGCAUAUUGAGGUGCAUCUGGAGUACUAACAGGAUACUGCACAAGGUUGCCAUCAUUUUGCAUCUUGAGUCGGUAAAUACCAGUUGAGAGUUCAGUUUCUGAAACAGGAGAAACCAGCUCUGCCCCUGCUCUGAGUUGUUGAGUUGGCAAAAGGGUAUCUGUUGGGUGGUCAAAACUCUGCCAUAUAAUCUCGCGAUCAGAAUUAUAUAGCACAAAGUUGCCUGAAUCAGACAUAGAAGCUAAAGAAGCUUUCUGGGAUGCAGAAACUAUCGGAGUCUCAUCCCCUUGUGCUGAUCUCAAGACAACCCUUCCUUCACUGGUGAAGAGCAAGGUCGCAUUACUGGGGACUGGGGCAUCAUCCCUUGUAGCAGCCCACACAACAGUCUCUAGUGAAAUCCCGGAUAGAAAAACCCCUAUAGAAUAGCCGUCGCGUUGUCGGAAAAAUCCGAAAGCAUAAAGACCGGAAGGUGACAACCAUGAGGAGUUUGUGAUAGGUGUUAGAGAAGAUCCGAGGGUUAUAUUGGUCUGUCUUUGAGCUGAAGCUGCAAAAGAUAAGGCGAGAAGAAGAAAAAAGAUGAUAGAAGCCAUGGAUAGGGAUUUAGCUCUUGUGUGGUAUGGAGUGUCAAUAUAAGGAUGUCUAUUGUUCCAGCACUCCAGUCUCUUUCUUUGGGUUCCAGCAGUGAAGCCAGGCACUCAGAACAUGAAAGUCUAGCCAUAAAAUCCACCGCGUUUCCCUACCAAUUAGUGGAUAUCCUUGCGCUUACUUGUAUGCUUUCAAAGUCAAUGCAGUCAAGUCACUGAAAAAUCUCGGCAAUUACCCUGCCAUAAUACUAGGGCAAGACAGAACAACUCGCUUGCUUAUACUAAUGUCCCUCAAAUGCUAAAGCCUAGCUAGCAACCUCAGUUUCUAACGAAAGAGCGCCUCUACAUGUUGCGUAACUAACAAUCCCUUGAAUAUUAAAACUGAAAAGUGGAGCACAUUGGACCAUUGAUUUUAUGAUCAGUUCCACUGUACGACAUUAUUCAGAGUACAACUGAGGUGGUCACGGCAAGGACUGAGUCAAGGGACAACCUAGCAUUUGCUGACCUGCUCUUCUCAGCAAAAGCUUCUUCUCUCACCAGCUUUAUGCCAUGGUUGCUGAUUGGAGGGGCUUUAUAAUUUAUUUAUUACAAAUGUGCUAUGAAAAAGAAAAAAAAUGCAAUGAUAUUUGUCACGACCCGAAUCCCGGAUCCAUGACCGGAACAUAGAUAAGGUUCCCUUCCAAGGUUUUAUACCUAUGCGAACCUAAACUUAUAUACAAACUUAUCCUUCAAAACUCAAUUAGAGUUCAACGCAGCACUAAUAACAAAAUAAACUUCAUAAUAUAAUUUGAUUGUCUUAAUACAAGAGUUCAUAUAAAUUCAUAUUUGUAGAGCACUAACUAGACAUAAAAGAAAAUAUAAAAUUACAACCAAAAUAGCAAGUUUUGAAGGUCCUACAAAAGUGACCUGCUAACAAACUAUAAGCCUGAAAAGAUAAAUAAUGAGAGGGUGAAUUCAACAACUGAGAGAGUAGAUAACAUUUAAUAUAUACACAUGAUGUAAUACAACAAUGAUGAAUAUAUACACAAUUAUAGCUCUAGGUUCUUAUAGGAACGUUUCUCAAAUAGGCCAUAACAAGAAUAUCAUAAGGUAAAACUCGUUAAAAAAUCAAAAUGCAAUGAGCAUAGGGCUCCGUAUUGUGGGAUGAUCAGUCCACACAGGUUGGUGAAUUGCUCGACCAACUAACAUAGUGGAAGCUUCUGUGGAAAUAGGACGCCGCCUAUUUCUGGGAAAAAUCGUUUGAAUCCUCGAACCAAAAAUUACACUCGAAUCCAUGAGUUCAGAAAUUAAAAUUCUCUAAGAGAAAGUUCUUUAUUGAAUUAAAAAAUGCCUUACAAUGAAAAGAGGCAGCCUUUAUAUAGGCUGCAAAUCCUAAUACGACUAGGAAUAUAAUUGUUUAAGAAAGAAAUAACUAGAAUAAAGAAAGAAAAUACUACAGCUAGAAAAGUAAAUAAAUCCUGAUAUUACAACAUUAAUUAGGACUCCUAAAUAAGGAGGCAAUCUGGUGGAAGGAUACUCCAAUAGUAACUGCAGUUCCUGAUUUCUCUGCAAUUAUAUUAUAUCCUUCAAUCUGCUCUUCCUCUCCUCCUGUAGAUUGUUCUACAUUAGUCUUUCCCUGCAUAAAAAGAACUCGUCCCCGAGUGAGUUAAGUGAGAAGACGCCAUAUCAGAAGGAUGAUACUCAUAUAAAUCUGCCACGUUGAAAGUAGGGGAAAUGGCCAUAUCUGCAGGAAGGUUGACAACAUAUGUGUUGUCAUUAAUUUUCUAAAGGAUUUGGAAAGGUCCAUAUUUCUUGUCUUUCAGCUUGUUGUAUGCUCCUACAGGUAGUCGUCCUUUGCGCAAAUAAACCAUCACAACGUCCCCUUCUUGAAAGGUUUGGACCCUUCGCUUUUUAUCUGCUGUAGUUUUGUACUUGGCGUUAGAAGCCUCUAAGUUUUGCCACACUUCUUCUUGAAUGGAAUUUAUAUGGUCUGCAAUAUUUUCUGCUGCAAUGCCUAAACCCGACAGUUUUGGAAGAGGAACUAAGUCUAACGCAUGGCGCGGAGGACAACAAUAAACAAUCUGAAAUGGUGUCUUCCUAGUGGACCGGUUGAGCAUAUUGUUAGAAGCAAACUCAGCUUGUGUCAAAUCAACAUCCCACUAUUUUGGUUAUAUCCUAGAAAGAUAGCAAAUUAGAUUCCCAAGAGUGCGGUUUACUAUCUUUGUUUGGCCAUCGAACUGAGGAUGGUCGGUGAUGCUAAAAUUCAGGGAUGUGUUAAACCGUCACCAUAACAUUCGCCAAAAAUGACUCAAGAAUUUGGUGUCUCUGUCGGACGUGAUGGACUUGGGAACCCCAUGUAGACGCACCACCUCCUUGAAAAAUAAAUUUUCUAUAUACACUGCAUCUGCAGUCUUCUUACAAGCAAUAAAAUGAGCCAUUUUAGAAUACUUGUCGACCACUACAAAAACUGAAUCAAAUCCGCGUUGGGUUCGCGGUAGGCCUAAGAUAAAAUCCAUGGAAAGAUCCUCCCAAAGUGCUGCUGGGAUAGGCAAGGGCAUAUACAAACCGGUAUUUUAGGACUGUCCUUUAGCAGCCUGAUAUAUGGGGCACCGUUUAACAUAGUUGCUAAUGUCUCUUUUUAACUGGGGCCAAUAAUACCUCUCAUCAGUAAGGGCUAUUGUUUUGUCAUGCUCCAAGUGUCCACCCAAGCCUCCACUAUGUAAGUCAUGAAUUAUGGGUAUGCAUAAUUGGUUACCAUGAAAUAAGUAGCCUUCCUGGAUAUGCAGGUUCUCCACAGGAAGCCCCGUUUGACACUUUCUCCAACUAUCUUGAAAAUCUUCAUCACCAGCGUAUAACUCUUUUAGGCAAUCAAACCUAAUGACUUUAGUUUGUAGAGUGACUAGCAGCAAUGUCCUCCGGCUGAGAGCAUCAGCUGCUCGGUUUAGUCAUCCAGCCUUAUAUUGUAGUGUGAAUGUGAAGCGUUGAAUAAAUGAAAUCCAGCGGGCAUGCAUUCUGUUGACACUAUUCUGGAUGUUGAUAAAUCUUAGUGCUUGAUGGUCGCUGAAUAAAAGGAAGUCUCGGGGUACUAGCUAGUGUUCCCAGACUUUCAAGGCGCAAAAGACGACAUACAACUCUAGCUCAUAGGUAGACCACUUCUAGCGAGCUUCACCGAGUUUUUCACUGUAGAACGUGACCGGUUUGCCUUCUUGAGACAACACAACACCAAUACCCAUGAUAGAGGCAUCGCACUUGAAAUAAUUUGACAAAAUCUGGUAGUGCCAGAACUGGGGCCGAUGAUAGUUUUUCUUUGAUCAAUUUAAAGCUCUGCUCUGCUGCUUCUCCUCAAUGGAAUUUCCCUUUCUUCAUGCAUUCAGUAAUAGGUGUGACUAUUCGACUAAAAUCUCUAACAAGUCGUCUGUAAGACGUUGCUAGUCCAUGAAAACUAUGGACCUCGCUUACUAUUCGGGGAGUCGGCCAAUCUCGAAUGGCGCAAAUCUUUUCUUCAUCUACCUUAAUUCCAUCGACACUUAUUACGAACCCCAAGAAUAGCAAGCUACUGGUCAUAAAGCUGCACUUUUUCAAAUUAACGUACAACUUAUUUUGCUGCAGAAUUUUAAGUACUUCCUUCAAGUACACAACAUGGUCAGAUUGGGUUUGGCUAUAGAUUAAUAUAUCAUCGAAGUAUACCACCAAAAAUUUUCCAGUGAUAGGUUUCAAUACCUGGUUUAUAAACCGCAUGAAAGUACUGGGUGCAAUGGUUAGUCCGAACAACAUUACUAACCACUCAUAUGAGCCCUCAUUUGUUUUAAAAGUAGUCUUCCACUCACCUCCUAGUCUGAUCGAAAUUUGAUGGUACCUGCUUCGUAAAUCAAGUUUUGAAAAGACUUUGGAUCUGGAUAACAUGUCCAACAUAUCUUCUAAUCGAGGGAUAUGGAACUUAUAUUUAACAAUGAUCUUGUUGAUUGACCGGCUAUCGAUGCACAUGCAUUAACUACCAUCUUUCUUUGGCACUAACAAGGCUGGUACUGCACAAGGGCUCAUGCUCUCAUGUACUAGUCCUUUCUUAAUCAUUUCUUUUACCUGUGCUUGCAGAACCUGACUUUCUUUGGGAUUCAUCCGGUAAUGGGGGCGAUUAGGCAAACUAGAUCCUAGCAUGAAAUCAAUCUGAUGUUGUAUGUCCCGUACAGGAGGUAACCCAUUAGGUAGGUCUGAUGGUAUAACUUUAUGAAAUUCCUCCAGUAAUGGCAACACUAUAGGUGGAAUGUCAAUAUGAUCCCUGCCAACUUCUCCUCUUAUUACUGCGGCAAAAAUCUCUUUGGCUUCCUUAGUCUCUUCCAUGAAUUUCCCCUGUCCACUAGCAAUACUGGUUUUCCUUGUGGCUUCGGUUUAAUGCUAGCAAACUCUUAUUUUAUAGGACCUAGAACGACCUUUAACCCCCUUCAUGAAGACAAAAACUUUGUCACGACCUCUAUAAGUGGCGUCUACAACAUACUACUAGGGGGCGUCCCAAAAUUACAUGGCAGGCAUCCAUUUCCACCAUGUCAUAUGUAACUUCAUCUGUAUAAUUCUUUCUAAUUGAGAAUUUAAUGUGGCAGACUUCAGUUACCUUUACUUUAGUGCCACGUUUGAUCCAGCCAAUGUUUAAAUGGUGCAUGAUGCUUCUCAAUUUGCAAUCCCAACUUAGUAACAAUUGGUUUUGAUACUAUAUUUUUGCUACUGCCAGUGUCAAUGAUAAUAUCACAGACCCUCUUGUUCACGGUGCACCUGGUUCUGAAUAUAUUAUGCUGCUAAGAGGGUUCUUCUCGUUUUGGUGCCAACAGUAGCCACUGAACUACAAGAGACCGCGACAAUAGUUCUCCCUCAUCGCCUCCUAUUACUUCUUAUUCUUCUUCUUCUUCUUCUUAUGUAUAGGCUGCUUCAUUAUAAUAUUUCGCUGUGUCGAAGAGGCACUCUUCUUCUGGCUCUAUUAAGUUCACGGUACUCCUUCUUAGACACUGGUUGGAACGGUGUCGUGGCUAUCCAUAUCUAUAACAUUAUUCGAUCCUGGACGAGCAUAAGGAUUUCUAGGCGUCACCUCGGAUGGAAUGGUAUUGGUAGGCUUUGUUGGUGCUCCAUUGCUGCUUGUUCCCUGUAUAGUGUUAGAGAAUGAGGGUUGGGUUGUUGAGGUCGUCAGGGUCAUCGGGGUCUUUCCUUUGUUGACUGUUGCUCUAUUAUUAUCAAAUGGAUUCCUGGUCCCAACCAUUUCCUUUGAUCUAUCUAAUUGGGUCUCUGCCUUAAUAGCCAUUGCAAGGGCUUCUGUUAGAGUGUAAACUGUUUGCAUCGCCACACAAUCCUGUAUAGCCCAAUGCAGACCUCCAACAAACCUGGCAACUUGUUGUGCCUCUGUUUCCAGUAGAUUAUUUCGUGAUGAUAGCAUGUGGAAUUCUUCCAGGAAAGCUUCAAUGGUUCUGGCUCCUUGUCUACAUUCCUAAUACUGUUUAAACAAAAUUUGCUUGUAAUCUGGUGGUAGAUAACGGGAACGUAAUAGUCGUUUUAUUUUAGUCCAUGUUUGAACCAUCCCCUUCCCUUUUCAUAGCUAGGUACUUUGUAGUUACUCCCACCAGGCAGAAGCUCCCCUCAAUAGUCUAUAUGCGACUAACUUCACCUUCUUAUCUUCAGGAAUGUUCAUAUAAUCAAAGAACCUCUCGACUAAUACCAACCAAUCAAGGAACCCUUCAAUCUGAAGUUGUCCAUUAAAAUUAGGCAGGUCCAUCUUCAUUCGAAACAUUUAUCAGUCUGGUUCCCUUUGGUAUCCUCUCCAGUUUCCCCAGAGUAUAGCUUCAGCUUCUUCUUCAUCCUCACUUAGGGUGUCCUCAUAGACUGGUUGCCUUCGUAGGAUUCUUGGAGGGCGUUCACAACUUUCAGCCCUUUCUCUGUGAUGUUGAUGACCUGGGGGAUUGUUGAUCCCUUGAUUAUUUCCUGCUGUCAACCUAGCAAGGGCUGCUUGGAUAUCACGUAAGGUUUGUUGUGUCUCAUGCUGGAAAAUUUUGAAUUCAACCCCUAUAACCAAAUUAUCCCCGCGGUCACCACCACCAAGGGUUUCGCUUUCGUUGUGUGGGUUUGCCAUCUAACAGGAUUAGGCCUGCUCUGAUACCAACUGACGUAGCGGAAGCUUCUGUGGAAAUAAGACACCGUCUAUUUCCGGGAAAAAUCAUUCGAAUCCUUAAACCAAAAUUACACUCAAAUCCACGAGUUCAGAAAUUAAAAUUCUCUAAGAGAAAGUACUUUAUUGAAUUCAAAAGUGCCUUACAAUUAAAAGAGGUAGCCUUUAUAUAGGAUGCAAAUCCUAAUUCGACUAGGAAUAUAAUUGUUUAGGAAAGAAAUAACUAGAAUAAAGAAAGAAAAUACUACAGCUGGAAAAGUAAAUAAAUCCUGAUAUUACGACAUUAAUUAGGACUCCUAAAUAAGGAGGCAAUCUGGUGGAAGGAUACUCCAAUGGUAACUGCAGUUCCUGAUUUCUCUGCAAUGAUAUUAUAUCCUGCAAUCUGCUCUUCCUCUCCUCCUGUAGACUGUUCUACAUCACCAACUAGGGUUCAGAUACGAUAUUCAGAAAGACUAACAAUACCCUAUUAGCAUGGGUAUUUUGACUGGCAUACCAUAGGUUUAUAAUCAUAAUCAAAUAGACAUAUUCAUAUCUCAGGGCUCAACUUAUGACAUCAAUCAAAUGAGGAGCUAUCAAUUCAGAAGUCAAUUCAAAAUAUAUAUUGGUUCAUAUUAAGAAUUUAGAUUCAACUAUUGAUCAUGCUUUAUCAUAACACGAAUAAUAAUCAACAUAUAUAUUAUCAAGAAACAUGAUCCAAUUUAUAUUAACAACUCAAAUAUUUAUAAUAUUACUCAUGCAUAUGGAAAAUUAUCCACUCACCUAACUCAAAAGUAAACAUAACUCAAAAGCAGAUACCGAAAGAAAUCCUACUAAUGUUCGGUCGAAAAUCAUGAUUAUCUGAAUACAAAUGAGAUAUAUUAAAAAAUGACUCAAAAGAACAUAUAACCUAUUUAAUACACUUAUCUAAGGGUAUAUUUCAUAACCCUAUAUGUUUUUAGACUAAACUAGUUAUGUUUCCUAAAAACUUAAAAAUUAACGGUUUUCCCGAAAUCUAAUCCAUAAUAAAAUAAAUAAUAAGACUUGGUAAUAAUUCACUAAAUAAACCUUAUUUAUUCAUCAAACCAAUAUGAAAAGCUAAUAUUACAGCUAGAGACCAAUCUAGAAUUUAUCAUAUUUUCUAGGCUCCAAUCCCAUUUCUUGGUCUGCACGCAAACAAAGAGCUGUAUCGUGUUCUUCUACAGAAGUGGAAUUUCGUGCAUUAGCUGAUGCCACCUCUAAAACAAUUUGGCUUCACUCCUUUAUCAAUGAACCUGGCUUACAUCCUAAAAAUCCUCCCUAGGUUUUUCGUGAUAACAUUGGUGCAACUCAUUUCAACCUAAAUCCAGUGCAACACACUCGUAUGAAACACAUCGAAAUUGACCUUCUCUUUGUUUGUGAUCUUAUCUAGAAAGGUUGUAUUACUGUCAGUUUUUGUUACCCAAUUUUUGACCCAUCUUUUUGAUAAAAUUUUCGGAAAAUCAAAAAAUAGCGAAAAACAACAAAAAUCCAAAAAACUAUUUUUUAAAUAUAUUUGCAUUGUUUUUAGCAUUUUCAACGUCGUCUAAAAAAGAAUUUAAAUUUUCAAAGGUUUUUGAACGCGUUCGACUUUUCACGCAUCAUUUUUAAAAUCAUUGAUUUUCCUUGUUGUAACCCAUUUUUGGGUCCCCAUGAAAAAUAAAAUAAAUAGCCAAAAGAGUUUAGAAAAAAUAACAGAAGGCAGAAGCGCUCAGGAAACAGUCAGAAAAUUGGUCAAGAAAUUCAAAAAUACAAGGAUUAAAUUUUUGACAGUAUAUUCUUGAAGGAUGAAAGCCCUAUUGAGAAGGAAAAUUUGAAUUUUUAGGAGAAAAGCCCAAAUUUGGAUGUUUAUGGACUUAAUUGGAUUUUUAUUUGAAUUUAUAGAAGAUUUGAUUGCAAGAAAAAUUGAUUUUUAAGUCAAUUGGGCUUUAAUUGGAAACAUUUAAGUUCUGGGGCCAAAAUAUAUUUUUUAGGAAUUUAUUGGGUCAAAUCAGGGGCUCAAUUGCAUAAAUAUUGAAGUUUAAGGGCCAAUUAGGGACUUAAUUGUGAAAAUCCGAAACCAGGGACCAAUUUGGAGAAGGCGCAAAGAUAGAGGGGGCUGUUUGGAUUUGUUUCAGGGGCUUAAUUGAAGAAAUUGAAAGUUUAUUGAUCAAUUAGGGGCUCAAUUGCAUAAAUCAGAGGCCAAGGACCAAAGUGAAAAAGGCGGCCAACAAGAGGGGCCGGGGACCGAAUUUGGGGGACUGAUUUGAAGUUCAGCCAUUUAAAUGAAACGGCGCGUUUUACCCAAAACGACGCCGUUUCAUAAAAAAAAAAAAAAAAAAAAACGGUGUCGUUUUGAACGACACUGUUCAUCUUCCUCCUCCCCCCCGUUUUAACAGAACAGAAGACAAAAAAUUCGAAAAUCUUCCCGCGCCUCUCUCUCUCCUCGCCCCCACCACCUUUAGCAUUGGCCGACCAGCCGUUGCACCGCACUAACGAUGGUCCCCCACGGUUCGCCCCUAUAAAUAGAGAAGAAAACCGAAGCUGCAGGAAGAAAAAAAAAAAAACCGAAGGGAGGAGAGAGAGAGGAGGCCGAAGAGAGAGAGAGAACCGAACACCGAAGAGAGAAGGAGCCGCAGCGCCGCCCGGGAAGCCACGCCACCGCAGCACCACCUCCUCCACGCCAGGUCACCUCUUCCCCCCCCUGUCGUUAGUUUUUAUUUUUUCCCUGCAUGCAGAAUGAACAUUCUGCAUGCAGGGAGGAGGGGGAAUUAAUUCCCCCCUUGUUUAUGUAGCUGGGCCAGGUGGAUCCUGGCCCAGCAUCAUUUGUUUUGGGCCAGACUGAGUCUGGCCCGGCCUUGUAUCUGACGGGCCAGACCAGGUCUGGCCCAUACCAGCUCUCUGGGCCAAGUCCGGCCCAGAUAUUUGGGCCGGCCCAGCCCGAAUUAUUUUUAUAUUAUAUGUGUGUAUAUAUGUAUAUAUAUAAAAUAUAAUAAUAAAAAAAAAUAUUUUGAAAAAUCUUAAAAAAAUAUUGUUGAUUUUUCUGCAUAUUUUUGUCAAAAAUGUUUUAAUUUUGGUUUGUAUUUUUAUACUGUAAAGAUACAAAACCAGUGUUAUAAAUACCCGGUUUUCGUCAAAACAUCAAAGAUUUUCAGAAUAAAAAAUGUUUUUGCUUUCAAAAAAAUUCUAAAAAGUCCCUAAAAAUGUUGUUGAUUUUUCUGCAUAUUUUUAUCAAAAUGGUUUAAUUUUGGUUUGUAUUUUUAUACCGUAAAGAUAUAAAACCAGUGUUAUAAAUACCCGGUUUUCGUCAAAAUAUCAAAGAUUUUCAGAAUAAAAAAUGUUUUUGCUUUCAAAAAAUUUCUAAAAAUUCCCUAAAAAUGUUAUUGAUUUUUCUGCAUAUUUUUUAAAAGGAUUAAUAUUGGGUUGUAUUUUUAUACCGUAAGGAUACAAGCUCAGUAUUAAAAUACCCGAUUUUCGUCAAAGCAUAAAAAAAAUAAUAUUUUUAAAAAUUGUUUUUGUUUUAAAAUACGGCCUAGUCUCUCCAAUAUAUAUACAUAAAUAUUAUAACAUCAUAUUUUCACACAACAAAGAAAAUUUUCAAAACAAUAUAUGUAUUAACAUGCAUUUUGGCUUUAAUAACCAGUUUAUUCAAGCCAUGAGAACUAGGCCAAUAUUUCAAAAAUUCUAAAAAAUCUUUUUGUUUUAUUUUAGUAUUUGGGAUUACGAAUUUAUACGUAAAACGUAUUCCUAAGUAUUAUUAAUAAAAUUUUGGUAUGGACGUUAGAACGGUUAGGAUUUUUACCCGAUAAGAUAAAAGACCUUCUUACUGAGGAGGAUUUUUCUUGAACCAUAGACAGACAACGACUAGGAAAACACAAUAACACUUUAGUUUUUUUUAUCAGACAAUAAAACAAUGCAGCUUACCUUAGGUAGGGCGUAUUUGGGGUGCUAAUACCUUCCCUUUACGCAACCAGUCUCCGUACCCGAUCUCUGAGACCAGUUAGGUUCCUAGUGACCAAAAUACUAGGUGGCGACUCCAAAGAACCAAAUAAAAAUAAAAAAAAAAAUUCGCCAGUCGAACCCGCAAUUGAAAAUUUGAAUUUUUUUGGGGUGCGACAGAAUGGCGACUCCACUGGGGACCUUGUAGACUAAGCUUUGUUUUUGUCUGAUUUAUUUGUGUUUGCCUGUGCUUAUUUUUUAUAUGCCUUUCCUUUUAUUUAAUCGCGUAUUUAUUUUUAUUUUUACGCGCAUUUAUUCAUGCAUUAUAUACAAUUGUCUCAUGCAUCACUUGCCUUAAUUUUGAAAAGCACACACAAGCCUUAAGUUAAGUGGGGAAUUAGCGAUUUACCCUAAGACUAUUGGUCAGGGUUUAAAUGCGUGAAACACCCAACUCAUAUCUGAGUGCCUGCUUGGUAAUGGUGGACAUACGUGUCUUAACUGUUCCUUGCAACGCCCCCAUACUGUCUUUACGAAGAACGUCACUGGGCAGAUAUGAGAACCUUCAAGACUAGAUAGAAAAACUACCCACUCUCACUUAAUAAAUAGAGCUUGUCCUUAGGUUAUGUAUCUUAUUUGCAUCAAGAUUAAUAAUGUUAUACUCAUCGCACAUCACUUGUGCAUCACAUUUUCAUCACGCAUUUUGUUAUCAUAUGCAUUACAGAUCGUGAAACAUAGGUCCUACAUCCAGAGUCCACCAAACCCGGUCCAGAUCAAGAAUGGAAAACGAAGAAAGAGCUCAAUUAGAGUCGCACUACCAGACCGAGUUGGAAUCUGUGAAAAAUGAAGUUUCUCGACUGACCAGUCUGCUUGAGCAACUUUUAAGAGCCAAGAAUGGGGAGGGAACAUCUACCCAACCACCUAUAGGAGCACCAUCAGUUCAUGUCCGGGGGAUCUCAGAACUUGGGGGCAGAUUCAGUGACGGGGCAGCACUUUGCACCUACCAUUCCCAUUCAGCCCCCUCAAGCUCACAUCACUGUGGAAGGGCCUCCCGAUAAUAGGUCCACCGGAUUUAUGAACGAUGACAAGAUAUCAGCCUUGGAAGAAAGGUUAAGAGCAGUCGAGGGAAAUGACUGGUUUGACCCCAUGCGAGCAUCUGAAAUAUGCUUGGUACCAAACAUCACGAUACCAAAAAAAUUUAGGAUACCGGAGUUUAUAAAGUACACUGGGUUGGAAUGCCCAAACACUCACCUUCGAUCUUAUUGCAAUAAGAUGGCUGAGGUGAUUCAUGACGAUAAGUUACUGAUCUACUUUUUCCAAGACAGUCUAUCGGGGUCGGCGCUAAGUUGGUACAUGAGGUUGGAUAAUGCCAAGAUCAAGAAAUGGAAGGAUUUAGUUGAGGCUUUCCUUAAGCAAUACAAGUUCAAUUUGGAAAUUGCUCCAGAUCGAACGAGCCUUAUGUCAAUGGAAAAGAGAAGCCAAGAAUCAGUAAGGGCUUAUGCGCAAAGGUGGAGGGACGAGGCCAUGCAUGUGCAACCCCCUUUGAUAGAAACGGAGAUGGUGACUUUGUUCGCCAAUACAUUCAAGGCACCCUACUAUGAGCAUUUAAUGGGUAGCUCAUCUCAACAUUUCUAUGAUGUUGUACGCAUAGCGGAAAGAAUAGAGCAAGGGAUUAAAGCUGGACGCAUAAUUGAGCCAUUGGAGACAAAGGGUUUUUUCGGAAGAAAAAUGAAAGGUCCCGUUAACAACUUCGAAGGUGGGUCCAAUGACAAGAUAACAGAUUCAUAUAACCCACAAAUACCUACCUCUCAUGUGGCCCACAUAAACUUUAACAAACCUUUUUCCCCUAAUCGAGCAAAUGGCCAGUCAAACACCCAAAACAACCACCAAAGACCAAACACAAGAUACAUUUCAGAACAACUACCGCCAUUACCCAUGCCUCUAAAGGAUAUAUAUGCCAAAUACUAAGCAUUGGACAAAUAGCUCCUAUCCCUACAUUACCACUACAGCCACCAUUCCCCAUCUGGUAUAAGCCCGAGUUGACUUGCGAGUACCAUGCUGGUAUUCCCGGGCAUUGUCUUGAAACGUGCUACGGUUUCAAGAACAAGUUGUUGAAGCUCAUCAAGAUAGGAUGGGUGUCAUUUGAAGAUGCACCCAAUAUCAGUUUAAAUCCAUUGCCUGGUCAUGACAAAAGUGAUAGGGGAUAAAGGUUGGAAAACCUUGGUCAAGAGUCGUCAAUAAUGAAGAAGGCGAGAUCGAAGGAGAAGACAAGGAAAUGCAAGUGGGGAAGGAAGAUGAAGCAUUGCCUCGGUUGACUUUCCACACACUAGAAGAAGUUUCAGAACGGGUUGACCCAAGAACUUCUCGUAGUUUUCAAAAUGUAAAACAACUUUAUUUGCCUUAGCAUGUUUUUGUCAUUUGCUUUUGUCUUUGCUUUUUAUUUUCUCUAGUGAGCAUUCAGAGCUCAUAUUGUCAGCCAGAUUUUUGUGUUUGUCUUUGAGCCUACCUUUUCUUUAAAUAAAUGAUGAGUUUAUGCAUUUUUUUAACAAGUUUGAGUGGUUACAAAUAAAGUAUCAAUAAAAUGGUUUAAUAUGAAAUUUAAGAAAAGCUAAAGUACAACCCUAUCUCUGAUAGCAUGGAUAAAUGUUUAAGUGGUCACUUUGUAAUUGUCUUUUAAAGAAUAGAGUUUAUCAACCAUAACAAUGGCAUUUUGAAAUAAAAAAAAAUCAUUAUCUAUUCACUCACUAAAAAAGUUUAUCACCGGCUGAAUGAAUUGCUUCUCUAUAUAAAAACCCAGACUAAUAUCGCACCCCUAUACUAGGGGGCAAGACGGAUGUUUUAUGAAAAGUUUUACGAUUUGAAAACCAAGCUAAAGCAUUUGACAAAAGCAUGACAAAGAGGCAAAUACAAGUCAUACAUUUUGAGAAAAGGACUACUUGAAGAAAGUCAAAGACCUUUUCUCCAAGAAUAUGAUAGGCAACACGAGAGAUGAAUCCAGCAUACGACUUCAAAAGCAAGUUCAUGUUAAGAGGGAGUCCCAUGAACUAGAAGAAGAGGAUGGGGCCUAUGUUUCAAAACCAGGUACGAAUGCAUGCAUUGCAUCUAAUCAUAAAUCAUUGCAUAUAUGUUUUUUUUGGAUCGUUACAGGAGGAGAUCUUAGCGCAUUCCAACAAGAUUAUGGACGAAGAAAAUCAUUGAGUUGAUUCUAGAACAACAAGAAGAGAAGAUAAUGGUUUUCAAACCCUGCCAGCAGGAAGAACGACAUCGAUAGCAUUCGGUAAAAAGGAAUCGCCAGAUGUGAUUCCAAGUUGUUGAGAUCGCCAGAAGGGAUCUCGUAUUUCGAUGGAGGUCGCCAGAAGGGACCUCAUAUUUCAGUUUUGAAUAAAAGGAAUCACAAGAUGGGAUUCCAAGUAGUUUGAGAUCGCCAGAAGGGGUCUCGUUUUAUAUUCACCAAUGAAGGUCGCCAGAAGGGACCUCAAAUUUCAGCUUUGGUAUAAAAGGAAUCGCCAGAUGGGAUUCCAAGUUGUUUGGCUAAAGGAGAUCGCCAGAAGGGAUCUCAUAUUUCGAUAAGGGUCGCCAGAAGGGACCUAAUAUUUCAGCUUUGAAUAAAAGGAAUCGCCAGAUGGGGUUCCAAGUUAUUUGAGAUCGCCAGAAGGGAUCUCGUACUUCGACAUUCAUCAAGGAAGGUCGCCAGAAGGGACCUUAUAUUGAAACCAUUUCUUAGAAAGCAUGGAGUUUACUAAGAAUUAUUCCCCUUGGGUUAGUCACCCAUACAAUGAGACCAUCAUUUUUCUUGGGUAGGUCACCCACAAUGAGACCAUUAUUUUUCUGGGUAGGUCACCCAUACAAUGAGACCAUCAUUUUUUCUGGGUAGGUCACCCAUACAAUGAGACCAUCAUUUUUCUGGGUAGGUCACCCAUACAAUGAGACCAUCAUUUUUCCUGGGUAGGUCACCCAUACAAUGAGACCAUCAUUUUUCUGGGUAGGUCACCCAUACAAUGAGACCAUCAUUUUUCUGGGUAGGUCACCCAUACAAUGAGACCAUCAUUUUUCCUGGGUAGGUCACCCAUACAAUGAGACCAUUAUUUUUCUGGGUAGGUCACCCAUACAAUGAGACCAUUCCUUUUUUCUUGGGUGGGUAGGUCACCCAUCACAAUGAGACCAUAUUUUUUUCGGGGCAGGUCACCCAUCAAAAUGAGACCACACACACAUUUUUUGUAUUGGGUAAAGGAAUCACCAGAGGGGAUUCCAGGUUAAAGGAGAUCACCAGAUGGGAUCUCGAUGGAUUUCCAUAUUGAUCAAACUAAAGUAGAAUUCAGAGGAUUGCUGGAUAAGGAUCUCGAGAUGGCUAAGUUUUGAUCAUGUUUUUGGGCUAAGGAGGAUUGUUAUAAAGGACAAAGUUUCAGAUAAAUCAGCUUCGACCAUAUCAGUUUCGGGAGUUCCGUUUUGGGUUUAUCUUUAUAACACUUACUGCGCAAAACCCAUGCUCCGUAAGUAUUAUAAAGAGGGGGCAUCUGUUGUAACCCAUUUUUGGGUCCCCAUGAAAAAUAAAAUAAAUAGCCAAAAGAGUUUAGAAAAAAUAACAGAAGGCAGAAGCGCUCAGGAAACAGUCAGAAAAUUGGUCAAGAAAUUCAAAAAUACAAGGAUUAAAUUUUUGACAGUAUAUUCUUGAAGGAUGAAAGCCCUAUUGAGAAGGAAAAUUUGAAUUUUGAGGAGAAAAGCCCAAAUUUGGAUGUUUAUGGACUUAAUUGGAUUUUUAUUUGAAUUUAUAGAAGAUUUGAUUGCAAGAAAAAUUGAUUUUUAAGUCAAUUUGGGCUUUAAUUUGGAGAAAUUUAAGUUCUGGGGCCAAAAUAUAUUUUUUAGGAAUUUAUUGGGUCAAAUCAGGGGCUCAAUUGCAUAAAUAUUGAAGUUUAAGGGCCAAUUAGGGACUUAAUUGUGAAAAUCCGAAACCAGGGACCAAUUUGGAGAAGGCGCAAAGAUAGAGGGGGCUGUUUGGAUUUGUUUCAGGGGCUUAAUUGAAGAAAUUGGAAGUUUAUUGAUCAAUUAGGGGCUCAAUUGCAUAAAUCAGAGGCCAAGGACCAAAGUGAAAAAGGCGGCCAACAAGAGGGGCGGGGACCGAAUUUGGGGGACUGAUUUGAAGUUCAGCCAUUUAAAUGAAACGGCGCGUUUUACCCAAAACGACGCCGUUUCAUAAAAAAAAAAAAAAAAAAACGGUGUCGUUUUGAACGACACUGUUCAUCUUCCUCCUCCCCCCGUUUUAACAGAACAGCAGACGAAAAAAAUUCGAAAAUCUUCCCGCGCCUCUCUCUCUCCUCGCCCCCACCACCUUUAGUAUUGGCCGACCAGCCGUUGCACCGCACUAACGAUGGUCCCCCACGGUUCGGCCCCUAUAAAUAGAGAAGAAAACCGAAGCUGCAGGGAGAGAAAAAAAAAAAACCGAAGGGAGGAGAGAGAGAGAGGAGGCCGAAGAGAGAGAGAGAACCGAACACCGACGAGAGAAGGAGCCGCAGCGCCGCCCGGGAAGCCACGCCACCGCAGCACCACCUCCUCCACGCCAGGUCACCUCUUCCCCCCCCCCUGUCGUUAGUUUUUGUAUUUGUUUUCCCUGCAUGCAGAAUGAACAUUCUGCAUGCAGGGAGGAGGGGGGAAUUAAUUCCCCCCUUGUUUAUACGUAGCUGGGCCAGGUGGAUCCUGGCCCAGCAUCAUUUGUUUAUACCAGCUCUCUGGGCCAAGUCCGGCCCAGAUAUUUGGGCCGGCCCAGCCCGAAUUAUUUUUAUAUUAUAUAUUAUAUAUUAUAUUAUAUGUGUGUAUAUAUGUAUAUAUAUAAAAUAUAAUAAUAAAAAAAAAUAUUUUGAAAAAUCUUAAAAAAAUAUUGUUGAUUUUUCUGCAUAUUUUUGUCAAAAUGUUUUAAUUUUGGUUUGUAUUUUUAUACUGUAAAGAUACAAAACCAGUGUUAUAAAUACCCGGUUUUCGUCAAAACAUCAAAGAUUUUUCAGAAUAAAAAAUGUUUUUGCUUUCAAAAAAAAUUUCUAAAAGUCCCUAAAAAUGUUGUUGAUUUUUCUGCAUAUUUUUAUCAAAAUGGUUUAAUUUUGGUUUGUAUUUUUAUACCGUAAAGAUAUAAAACCAGUAUUAAAUACCCGGUUUUCGUCAAAACAUCAAAGAUUUUCAGAAUAAAAAAUGUUUUUGCUUUCAAAAAAUUUCUAAAAAUUCCCUAAAAAUGUUAUUGAUUUUUCUGCAUAUUUUUAUCAAAAUGGAUUAAUAUUGGGUUGUAUUUUUAUACCGUAAGGAUACAAGCUCAGUAUUAAAAUACCCGAUUUUCGUCAAAGCAUAAAAAAAAAUAAUAUUUUCCAAAAAUUGUUUUUGUUUUAAAAUACGGCCUAGUCUCUUCAAAUAUAUAUAUAUAAAUAUUAUAACAUCAUAUUUUCACACAACAAAGAAAAUUUUCAAAACAAUAUAUGUAUUAACAUGCAUUUUGGCUUUAAUAACCAGUUUAUUCAAGCCAUGAGAACUAGGCCAAUAUUUCAAAAAUUCUAAAAAAUCUUUUUGUUUUAUUUUAGUAUUUGGGAUUACGAAUUUAUACGUAAAACGUAUUCCUAAGUAUUAUUAAUAAAAUUUUGGUAUGGACGUUAGAACGGUUAGGAUUUUUACCCGAUAAGAUAAAAGACCUUCUUACUGAGGAGGAUUUUUCUUGAACCAUAGACAGAUCAACGACUAGGAAAACACAACAACACUUUAGUUUUUUUUUAUCAGACAUUAAAACAAUGCAGCUUACCUUAGGUAGGGCGUAUUUGGGGUGCUAAUACCUUCCCUUUACGCAACCAGUCUCCGUACCCGAUCUCUAAGACCAGUUAGGUUCCUAGUGACCAAAAUACUAGGUGGCGACUCCAAAGAACCAAAUAAAAAUAAAUAAAUAAAAAAUUCGCCAGUCGAACCCGCAAUUGAUGAAUUUGAAAUUUUUUUGGGGUGCGACAUUCCUCAUUGAGUCGACGUUGAUAUUGCUCGUUUUCAAAAAAUAUAAAAAAAUUAAGAAAAAUCAAAAUUUUACAUAAAAAGACAGUUGAGGGACCAAUUUUGAGCCCCUGACAACAUUUUAUUUGUAAAUAUAGGUUCAAAACUCAAAAGAGAGGAGGAGGAAUUUUGAAUAUUUGAGGGGAGAAAAAUUGAAAAAAAGGGAGGGGAGCUGGUUUGAAAAAAAAGAAAAAUAAGAAGAAACCCUAAAUCUAUCUCUUCUCCAAGCAGCCGCCGUAGCCCCUAGCCCCUCUGAUUUUUUUUCUUCCUCUCCCCAACGGCUCACCACAAGAGACAGCCACCCCCCACCUACCCAGCAGCUCACGCCUCCCCCCUUAUUUUCUUCUCCUACAGCCGCCGAAAACAGCCCAUCCCAAUCUCACUUUCUUCUCCCUCACCCGGAGCCAUCAACAGCUGCUCACUCCCCCCUCACCCACGGGCAAGCUCUCUUCCUCAAGCCGAACACAGCGACAACCCCCGCUGUCUUCUUCCUAGUCUUCGCUGUCAACAGCAGCAUCGCCCACAGACUCGGAGAGAUCCAUCUUCUCCCUCCAGCAGCGACCACAGAUCUGCCCUCCAGCGACAACCCCCAUACGACAGCACCUAUAGAAACCAGCCGCUGCUCACCUUCCUCCAGCCACUCACAGAGAUGCCCUGACCUCAGAGCCGUCCGCCACCUGCAUAAGGGAAGACAGAAAACCAAAAAGAGAAGACAAGAGAGAGUAGAUCUGAAAAAAAAAGAAGGAAAAACAAUCGGAAGCUUUGCAUGUGUGUUUUUCCCUUUGCAGGUAACAGUGGUUCUCACAGCCAGCAGAGAAGGGAAGGGAAAAAGAAAGCAGGACAAAUCUGUCCAUUUCCGGGCAUUGUCAGCGGCGACGCGUGGAGCAACGUGCCGCUACUGUUCAGUCAGACCAGAAUGCAUCCCAGAGUUGUCUUCCUGAAUUUUUUGGAUUAUUUUGUAAUUUUCAAAUUGUUUAAUGUAAUAUUUGUGUAAUUUUGAGUUUUUUUUUUAAUUUCUACUUGGUGUAAAUGUUGACGUAAAAGAAAAAAAAGAAAAGAAAAGAGAAGAAAAAACAAAUAAUAAUAGAAAAAGAGUUGUGUGUGUGUUUGUAUUUUUUUAUGUAUGUUAUUGAAUCAAAAGAAAAAAAAAAUGAGUUUAAUAUUUUAAUUUAUAUGCACAAAUAUCUAAAGGACAAAUAAAAAUCAUGUUGUAUUUUCCAUGAAAAUGUAGAACAUGUAUCUACAUAUAUUCUGGGAACUAAUAACUGAUUUAUCAAAGCCUUAGAAUUGAUCUAAAAUUUUAUUUUUAAAAUCACAUCAAGUCCAUGAAGCUUGAAAGUGAAUGUGUGGUGUGUAUUUUGUUUAUGAAUGUUUUUUUUUUUUUUUUUUAUGAUAAAAUUGCAAGAAUAAAGAAGAAUUUAAUAUUUUGAUUUGCUCACGGAUAAAGAAUUAUGAACUUACAUGUAAGUUGUAUUUUCUAAAAUUCGAUGAAUGAAUCAAAUUUUAAAACUUCUUUAACACAUCAAGUCCACGAAGCAGCUUACCUCAGGUAGGGUGCGUUAGGGGUGCUAAUACCUUCCCUAACCACAACCAGUCCCUUACUCGUGAAUCUCUGACGAGACCAGUACACCCGGGUUUCCUAGUAGCCUUCAAUGAAAUACUAGGUGGCGACUCCAACGAACCAAAUCAAGCAAACGCAGAAACAAAAAAAUCGCCAAGCCUGAUGCCGCGCAGAUUUUCUGACGUGCGACAUAAUCCGUGCGGCAUCAGUCAUGUUCACACUUUAGAUCAGCUUGCAGACUUGCUUACGAAGCCUCUUCCACGCCACCGUUUUCAAGUCUUAAGAUCCAAGAUUGGAGUUAUUGAUGGUACCUUCAUCUUGCGGGGGCAUAUAAGGAAAGUCAUCACUCUCCCACAAAUCACUCAUCCAACAACAUCAGUUUCUCCACAAAAUCCUCAUCCACCGAAAUCAAAUCCUUACGUUUAAUUUGAAUGUUUGAAUCAUGGAUAGCUUGCAGUUAGUUACAGGAUAGCAAAACUUCAGGCUUAAUAAGCUCUUCAAUCUUGUAUUUAUACAUGCACAAUGUAAAUGAAAAAGUGUGAAGUUAUCUCAUUAAUCUGCUUCUUAUCUUCUCUAUAAAGGCUUCCUUUUAACAUAAUUCUGCUUGAUAUGCUCCAUGUAAUUACAAACUAAUUAGCUCAAUCUGGUCUUCUCAUUUCUGGCAAUUAGUCAUUUUGACGGCGACUUGCAACAAUGUACUGUCACCAACCGUAGUAUUGGACUUCGAUUCACCGAUAAUGCCCUGCAACUGAGCUUGAGCGUUGGAAUUGGACAUUGGCAUUUUAGGCAAGGAAUUGCCUUGUAGAAUAGAAGAAGAAGAAGAAGAAGGGGAAAAAACAAGCAACGAUCCUAGUCUCAUUAAUUCUAUUCUUCGUAAAGAGCUCACUCUUGAGAUAACAUAAGACCAACAAACGUUGUUUAUACUAAGAACACGUGAAGCUUUCAUGCUAACGUUUUCUUUUCCCCUCUUUAUAUACCUUUUUUUUUUAAAAGAAAAAAUCUAAGAUACGAUGGGAAACAACUUUACAGGCAUUAACACAAAAAAAAAUCAACAGGAAGCUCCUAAAUGCUGCGGAAACAUAUAGCAAUUUAUAAAGAAAAGGAAUAAAUGACCUGAAAAAUCUCUUAUUCUGAACCACAAAUCGCAGCUCAUAUAGCAGUAAAAAAAGAAGUAGGACUUGGAGGGAUUGGGAUUUCGACUGUCCCCCUCAACAUGAGGAGGACCUUUUUCAUUGAAGGGCUGAGGGAUGGCUCAUCAAGAGUGCACCAAAGUCCCACUUUAACCAUCCUAUCUAAACUGUUUCUUAUCGACGAUUCAUCACCCACAAGUUGUCCAUAUCACCGUCCAGAAAACAUUGGUAAACCCACUGUUCGAGAACAGCUUCAUCCUCUGGAAGACUCGAAUCCACAUUCUUUCGACAACACGUGAUCUCCAACAACAUAACUCCAAAGCUAAAACAUCUGCUUAACUGUCCCCGGCAUAUUCCGGUGCCAUUCUGGUGCUACAUAUCCCUUGUCCCUCUAAUUCCGGUGAAGGUUUUAGUUUGGUCUGACUUCAGCAAACUUUGCCAAUCCAAAGUCAGAAACUUUGGGGCACCUGCUUUCAUCUAUUAGUAAUUCUGAGGUUUUAUUCACAGUGGAUGAUCUGAGUGUCGCACUCUUCAUGUAGAUAAACAAUACCCCUUGCAAUGUUGCGAGCAAUUUCCAACCUUUCAGGGAAAGCAAGGUCGUUUUUCAGUGAGAAGAGUAUGUCAGCGAGGGACCAUUGCUCAUGUACUCGUAUACCAGGAGCCUGUGCAUGGCAAUAGCCCGAGCAGACGGGCUAGGUUUCUGUGACGUGUUUUCCCAAUGACUUUCAUCUCAUUCUGAAAUUCUCUUUCCCUUCAGCUAGAGCUUUCUCCAGUCUCUAGACAGCAACGAGUACUUGAUAUAUCCCUUUAAACUGUCCCAAAUGAUCCCCUGCCAAUUUCUUCCUUGAAACCACCAGUAAUAUUUUCUAGCUUUGCAUAAGUGAAAGCUCGAGGAGCAAAUACCUCAUUCAAUGCAGUACCAUCAUUAUUUGGCACCCUUUUAUGCCAAUACAUGAUAUCUGUAAACGAUGAUUCCGAAAAUCGACACCAUAGCAAGCCCAAAAGCAACAAAUGAACCAUUUAUGAUGCGAACCUCGUGAUCACGUGGUCACGCAACCCACACGCAAAGACACCAAUUCCCGGAAAACCAAGUAAAUCAGGUUUGAUAGGAGUGUGACACAAAGAUAACUUGUACCUAGGCACCAGCACUAUUGGAAACGAAAAACCCCCACCCAACGAAUAUAGAUUCGCGAAUGAGAAGUAUAAGGAUGAUGCCACGAAGCCAGUUGUUCUUCGAUAAGUCGUUUUCAGUUCUUUAGAGAACCAAGGAAGGGAGAUUAUCCCACCAACACACAAGUACUGCAAAGAAGUUUAUUGAUAUAAAAGCCUCUAUUUAUACUGACUCUAGACUUAAAGAAACCCUAAUGGACCCCCCUUAGGUGGACUUAUAUGAAGCCCACUUACAAUUGACCCAAAUAAGUAAUAAUAACCCAAAAACUAAGAAGAAAAUAAUAAAAAUAAUAAAAAUCCGAAAAUUACCAUCCUAAAUAUGCUAGAAUCAAAUUUGUAUUGAUGUCCUUGAUUAGCUUGGAUAAAUUUCCUCCUUUGUUGCUGAUUUAAUUACUUUUCUUCCUAUGUUAGGAAAAGCAUUAAAUAGUCCUCCCCUCUUUAGGAAUAAGAUAUGGCCAACUUCCUUACUUAAUUAGGAGAAUAAAUUGCUGGCUUUUUAUCCUUGUAGCAUUAGGAAAUAAAACAAGCCUAACAAGGCUGGUAUUGGGCCGGACAUAUCAACCCCUUGUUCCACAUGAAUUGGGCUCUUCUUGGACAUGAACUAGAUGAAUUAAAGGCUGUCCUUCAUGCUCCUUAAAUGUCCCAAGCCCUUCUAGGUCCAUCUUGCUCCAUAAGUUCUGAACAAGCCCAUUCAAUGCUUCUUUAAGCUUCUUUGCCCUAGCUCUUGUGAUUGGCCCAAUUGGCACCUCCAAUGGAUCGUUGGCAUGAUUACGCUUGGUGUUGGGCUGAUCCGCAUCAACGUAUUAUUAGGAUUGUCCUGCCAGUGCCAAGGUUCUUCUUCUCGGUUAUAGGCUCUUUUCUGUCCAUGGUGGACAUGGGUCUGCCCACCUUGACGACAGCCAAGUUCGUACUUCCUAAGUUUCUCCUCCCAAAUCUCAAAGGAAGCCUUUGCUUUCUGCAGUACUGCCCAUCAGU
This 23269-nucleotide long non-coding RNA is filed under the name Populus tremula. RNAcentral's name for it is "long non-coding RNA (PTRE_LNC003384)". The record is from RNAcentral. Lineage: Eukaryota; Viridiplantae; Streptophyta; Magnoliopsida; Malpighiales; Salicaceae.